This 242-nucleotide ribosomal RNA is filed under the name uncultured bacterium. RNAcentral describes it as "partial 16S ribosomal RNA". It matches the Rfam family "Bacterial small subunit ribosomal RNA", at positions 92 to 334 of the family's 1533-position model. The record is from RNAcentral.
CGACCGGCGCACGGGUGAGUAACGCGUGGGUAACCUGCCUCAUACAGGGGGAUAACAGUUGGAAACGGCUGCUAAUACCGCAUAAGCGCACAGUACCGCAUGGUACCGUGUGAAAAACUCCGGUGGUAUGAGAUGGACCCGCGUCUGAUUAGCUAGUUGGUGGGGUAACGGCCUACCAAGGCGACGAUCAGUAGCCGACCUGAGAGGGUGACCGGCCACAUUGGGACUGAGACACGGCCCAA